CGCUGUAGCUCAGUUGGUAGAGCACGUCAUUCGUAAUGAUGGGGUCGUAGGUUCAAGUCCUAUCAGCGGC
Molecule: transfer RNA, 70 nt
Filed under: marine eukaryotic metagenome
Rfam family: tRNA
About the family: Transfer RNA (tRNA) molecules are approximately 80 nucleotides in length. Their secondary structure includes four short double-helical elements and three loops (D, anti-codon, and T loops).
Source: RNAcentral